GUGCCAGCAGCCGCGGUAAUACCGGUGGCUCGAGUGGUGGCCGCUAUUAUUGGGUCUAAAGGGUCCGUAGCCGGCCUGAUAAGUUACCUGGGAAAUCCGGUGGCCUAACCAUCGGGCGGCCAGGUAAUACUAUCAGGCUCGGGACUAGGAGAGACCAGAGGUACUCAUGAGGUAGGAGUGAAAUCCUGUAAUCUUAUGAGGACCACCAGUGGUGAAGACGUCCGGUUAGAAUAGGUCCGACGGUGAGGGACGAAGGCUGGGGGCGCAAACCGGAUUAGAUACCCGGGUAGUCCCAGCAGUAAACGAUGCCAGCUAUGUGUUGCUGGAACCAUGGGUUCCAGCAGUGCCGAAGGGAAGCCGUGAAGCUGGCCACCUGGGAAGUACGGUCGCAAGGCUGAAACUUAAAGGAAUUGGCGGGGGAGUACCACAACCGGUGGAGCCUGCGGUUUAAUUGGAUACAACGCCGGGAAUCUUACCGGAGGGGACAGCAGUAUGAAGGCCAGGCUAAAGACCUUGCCAGAUCAGCUGAGAGGAGGUGCAUGGCCGUCGCCAGUUCGUACCGUGAGGCAUCCUGUUUAGUCAGGCAACGAUCGAGACCCG
Molecule: ribosomal RNA, 600 nt
Filed under: uncultured bacterium
Lineage: Bacteria
Description: bacterial SSU rRNA
Rfam family: Archaeal small subunit ribosomal RNA
Source: RNAcentral